UCUAGGGAGGCAGCAGUGGGGAAUAUUGGACAAUGGGGGGAACCCUGAUCCAGCGACGCCGCGUGAGUGAAGAAGUAUUUCGUUAUGUAAAGCUCUAUCAGCAGGGAAGAAAGAAAUGACGGUACCUGACUAAGAAGCCCCGGCUAACUACGUGCCAGCAGCCGCGGUAAUACGUAGGGGGCAAGCGUUAUCCGGAUUUACGGGGUGUAAAGGGAGCGUAGACGGUUACGCAAGUCUGGAGUGAAAGGCGGGGGCCCAACCCCCGGACUGGUUUGGAAACUGGAUAACUGGAGUGCAGGAGAGGUAAGUGGAAUGCGUAGUGUAGCGGUGAAAUGCGUAGAUAUUAGGAGGAACACCAGUGGCGAAGGCGGCUUACUGGACUGUAACUGACGUUGAGGCUCGAAAGCGUGGGGAGCAAACAGGAUUAGAUACCCCUGUAGUC
This 442-nucleotide ribosomal RNA is filed under the name uncultured bacterium. RNAcentral's name for it is "partial 16S ribosomal RNA". It matches the Rfam family "Bacterial small subunit ribosomal RNA", at positions 338 to 795 of the family's 1533-position model. The record is from RNAcentral.